Molecule: ribosomal RNA, 492 nt
Filed under: Cercopithecus cephus (moustached guenon)
Lineage: Eukaryota; Metazoa; Chordata; Mammalia; Primates; Cercopithecidae
Description: partial 16S large subunit ribosomal RNA
Rfam family: Bacterial large subunit ribosomal RNA
Source: RNAcentral
CUGCCUGCCCAGUGACACACGUUUAACGGCCGCGGUACCCUGACCGUGCAAAGGUAGCAUAAUCACUUGUUCUUUAAAUAGGGACUCGUAUGAAUGGCACCACGAGGGUUUAACUGUCUCUUACUUUCAACCAGUGAAAUUGACCUGUCCGUGAAGAGACGGACAUGAAACAAUAAGACGAGAAGACCCUGUGGAGCUUUAAUUUAUUAGUACAACUAAAAACCACACAAACCAACAGGUCCUAAACCCCUACAUCUGUACUAAAAAUUUUGGUUGGGGCGACCUCGGAGCACAACCAAACCUCCGAGUAAUCCACGCUAAGACUACACAAGUCAAAGCAAACUGACACUUACAAUUGACCCAAUAAUUUGAUCAACGGAACAAGUUACCCCAGGGAUAACAGCGCAAUUCUAUUCUAGAGUCCAUAUCAACAAUAGAGUUUACGACCUCGAUGUUGGAUCAGGACAUCCUAAUGGUGCAGCAGCUAUCAAG